This 1035-nucleotide ribosomal RNA is filed under the name Escherichia coli. Its description in RNAcentral is "partial 23S ribosomal RNA". It matches the Rfam family "Bacterial large subunit ribosomal RNA", at positions 114 to 1191 of the family's 2925-position model. Lineage: Bacteria; Pseudomonadati; Pseudomonadota; Gammaproteobacteria; Enterobacterales; Enterobacteriaceae. The record is from RNAcentral.
CCGAAUGGGGAAACCCAGUGUGUUUCGACACACUAUCAUUAACUGAAUCCAUAGGUUAAUGAGGCGAACCGGGGGAACUGAAACAUCUAAGUACCCCGAGGAAAAGAAAUCAACCGAGAUUCCCCCAGUAGCGGCGAGCGAACGGGGAGCAGCCCAGAGCCUGAAUCAGUGUGUGUGUUAGUGGAAGCGUCUGGAAAGGCGCGCGAUACAGGGUGACAGCCCCGUACACAAAAAUGCACAUGCUGUGAGCUCGAUGAGUAGGGCGGGACACGUGGUAUCCUGUCUGAAUAUGGGGGGACCAUCCUCCAAGGCUAAAUACUCCUGACUGACCGAUAGUGAACCAGUACCGUGAGGGAAAGGCGAAAAGAACCCCGGCGAGGGGAGUGAAAAAGAACCUGAAACCGUGUACGUACAAGCAGUGGGAGCACGCUUAGGCGUGUGACUGCGUACCUUUUGUAUAAUGGGUCAGCGACUUAUAUUCUGUAGCAAGGUUAACCGAAUAGGGGAGCCGAAGGGAAACCGAGUCUUAACUGGGCGUUAAGUUGCAGGGUAUAGACCCGAAACCCGGUGAUCUAGCCAUGGGCAGGUUGAAGGUUGGGUAACACUAACUGGAGGACCGAACCGACUAAUGUUGAAAAAUUAGCGGAUGACUUGUGGCUGGGGGUGAAAGGCCAAUCAAACCGGGAGAUAGCUGGUUCUCCCCGAAAGCUAUUUAGGUAGCGCCUCGUGAAUUCAUCUCCGGGGGUAGAGCACUGUUUCGGCAAGGGGGUCAUCCCGACUUACCAACCCGAUGCAAACUGCGAAUACCGGAGAAUGUUAUCACGGGAGACACACGGCGGGUGCUAACGUCCGUCGUGAAGAGGGAAACAACCCAGACCGCCAGCUAAGGUCCCAAAGUCAUGGUUAAGUGGGAAACGAUGUGGGAAGGCCCAGACAGCCAGGAUGUUGGCUUAGAAGCAGCCAUCAUUUAAAGAAAGCGUAAUAGCUCACUGGUCGAGUCGGCCUGCGCGGAAGAUGUAACGGGGCUAAACCAUG